GACGAACGCUGGCGGCGUGCUUAACACAUGCAAGUCGAACGAAGUGGCGAACGGGUGAGUAACGCGUAAUCAACCUGCCCUUAAGAGGGGGACAACAGUUGGAAACGACUGCUAAUACCGCAUACUGACGGGGGGGAUUGCGGGGGAUUGGCUAGUGGGGGGGGUAACGGCCCACCAAGGCGAUGAUCAGAAGCCGGUCUGAUAGGAUGAACGGCCCAAUGGGGACUGGGCAACGGCCCAGACUCCUACGGGAGGCAGCAGUGGGGAAUCUUCCGCAAUGGAGGAAAGUCUGACGGAGCAACGCCGCGUGAGUGAUGACGGCCUUCGGGUUGUAAAGCUCUGUUAAUCGGGACGCGGUACCGGAAUAGAAAGCCACGGCUAACUACGUGCCAGCAGCCGCGGUAAUAC
Molecule: ribosomal RNA, 408 nt
Filed under: uncultured bacterium
Lineage: Bacteria
Description: partial 16S ribosomal RNA
Rfam family: Bacterial small subunit ribosomal RNA
Source: RNAcentral